This 496-nucleotide ribosomal RNA is filed under the name uncultured bacterium. RNAcentral's name for it is "bacterial SSU rRNA". It matches the Rfam family "Bacterial small subunit ribosomal RNA", at positions 30 to 507 of the family's 1533-position model. The record is from RNAcentral.
UGAACGCUGGCGGCGUGCCUAAUACAUGCAAGUCGAACGCACAGCGAAAGGUGCUUGCACCUUUCAAGUGAGUGGCGAACGGGUGAGUAACACGUGGAUAACCUACCUCAAGGUUGGGGAUAACAUUUGGAAACAGAUGCUAAUACCGAAUAAAACUUAGUAUCGCAUGAUACCAGGUUAAAAGGCGCUACGGCGUCACCUAGAGAUGGAUCCGCGGUGCACUUAGUUAGUUGGUGGGGCAAAGGCUUACCAAGACAAUGAUGCAUAGCCGAGUUGAGAGACUGAUCGGCCACAUUGGGACUGAGACACGGCCCAAACUCCUACGGGAGGCUGCAGUAGGGAAUCUUCCACAAUGGGCGAAAGCCUGAUGGAGCAACGCCGCGUGUGUGAUGAAGGCUUUCGGGUCGUAAAGCACUGUUGUAUGGGAAGAACAGCUAGAGUAGGGAAUGACUUUAGUUUGACGGUACCAUACCAGAAAGGGACGGCUAAAUACGUG